This 302-nucleotide transfer RNA is filed under the name Pseudomonas oryzihabitans. Its description in RNAcentral is "tRNA-Ser". Lineage: Bacteria; Pseudomonadati; Pseudomonadota; Gammaproteobacteria; Pseudomonadales; Pseudomonadaceae. The record is from RNAcentral.
GCCCGAGUGGUGAAACUGGUAGACACAAGGGACUUGAAAAUUUGAGCCCUUCCGGGGAAACCCUGAAGGUGACGCCCGUCAAAUUCGGCGAACGCCCUGGAGUCAUUCCGAGCCAACGCCGAGCCAAGCCCCGGAAGGGGAAGGUGUAGAGAGCAGACGGCGGGCACCUAAGGCCUCAUGGCUAAGGUGAAGGCGUGCUCCAGACCACGAACGGCAGCUGUUAGCCGGCGGUGAAAACCGAAGUGGUAAGAAAAUCCCUCGACUUAACGGUCGUGCCGGUUCGAUUCCGGCCUCGGGCACCA